ACGCUCGACACCUACUGGAGGCAGCAGUGGGGAAUAUUGGGCAAUGGGCNCAAGCCUGACCCAGCAACGCCGCGUGAAGGAAGAAGGCUUUCGGGUUGUAAACUUCUUUUGUCAGGGACGAAUAAAUGACGGUACCUGACGAAUAAGCCACGGCUAACUACGUGCCAGCAGCCGCGGUAAUCUGAGCGGGCUGGCAAGGC
Molecule: ribosomal RNA, 200 nt
Filed under: uncultured bacterium
Lineage: Bacteria
Description: partial 16S ribosomal RNA
Rfam family: Bacterial small subunit ribosomal RNA
Source: RNAcentral